Molecule: ribosomal RNA, 312 nt
Filed under: Triticum aestivum (bread wheat)
Lineage: Eukaryota; Viridiplantae; Streptophyta; Magnoliopsida; Poales; Poaceae
Description: partial small subunit ribosomal RNA
Source: RNAcentral
AUGGACCAGCAUAGUGUUGUACUCCCUCGGUCCCAUAAUAUAAGAACGUUUUUUGACACUAGUUUUUAUCCACGAUUUUCUAGCGUUUUCCCCUGCUUUGGCAAUUCCACUAACUCUCCACAUUGUCUGGUCAAACAGAAGAAAGUUGACAGCAACAUCAAGCAUGAACAUCAAGAUAGAGUCCACAUGGAGAUUGAUAGUUUCCCUUUUUCAUUUAUUAGUUCAACAGUUUCUACUAAAGAACAUUUUUCUGUAACUUUGCUAUUUGUAUUUUCUUUUUGUCUAACUUUGACAUUUUUUUGUGUGGACUAA